RNAcentral lists this unclassified non-coding RNA (337 nucleotides) under soil metagenome. Its description in RNAcentral is "partial contains 5.8S ribosomal RNA, internal transcribed spacer 2, and large subunit ribosomal RNA". The stretch from base 2 to 119 matches the Rfam family "5.8S ribosomal RNA", at positions 37 to 154 of the family's 154-position model. The record is from RNAcentral.
GUGAAGAACGUAGCGAAAUGCGAUAAGUAAUGUGAAUUGCAGAAUUCAGUGAAUCAUCGAAUCUUUGAACGCACAUUGCGCCCGGCAGUACUCUGCCGGGCAUGCCUGUUCGAGCGUCAUUUCAACCCUCAAGCCCUGCUUGGUGUUGGGGCCCCACGGCUGCCGUGGGCCCUGAAAGGAAGUGGCGGGCUCGCUACAACUCCGAGCGUAGUAAUUCAUUAUCUCGCUUAGGGCGUUGGGCGGCGCUCCAGCCGUUAAAGAACCAUCUUUAACUCAAGGUUGACCUCGGAUCAGGUAGGAAUACCCGCUGAACUUAAGCAUAUCAAUAAGCGGAGGA